GACAGCUUUAGCAGUCCCAGUAUUACCAGAACUCAGUGGUGGACACUGCCAGGGCUGCAAUCAGGCCCACGACGAAGAGAUGAAUGCCAGAGUCAGGAUUUUGGCCAAGAGGAUACUGUGAUGAUCCAUAGCAGAGGGAUAGAAGGAUGGGGAAUUGUGCAGCAAUGGCAAUCUGGAGAUUAAAUUUUAGGAAACUGGAGUCUGAGCAGCCACUUAUGGAACUGUUUUUAAGAGUCUUUCAGGGAAGGAAGAAAGAUAACCAAGGCUGCACGUAUCAAAGAGAGGGUUCCCAGGUUCUCUGAUGCAAUCUGGGGGACCUUAGUUCUGGAGGUCAAAAGGAGGUUAGCAGUCAUGUUCCCACAGGGGGCCAGGAGGCUGUCAAGGAAUACCCUAAGAAAGGAUUGAGAGCAGGUGGCCAGGGAGGUGAAUUUGAGGAGUCUGACCCUGAGGAUCUGGCUGCAAUGCCACAAAAACUUCAAUAACCUCACAUGAGAGUUGAAGGCUUGCCAGGCUUCCUAAACGCACCACUGAGAGCAAGACAAGAUCACAGCGGCAACUGAGGGGGUCAACCUACCUCAUGAAAAUAUGGCAUUAAAUGCUCAGUACUCAAAGUUACUUUCUGACCUGCUUGGCAAAUGGGUUUGUUCACAAUAGCUCAGAAUACUAGGAAGUGUAUAGACAGAGAAGGUUUGACGAACCUGCAAGGUCACCUUGUCUGUCUUGUUUAGGUCAUCAAACUGCUUCCAACACUGAAUCCAGGAGCAUAGCACCAUGCUUCUACAGCUGAUCUCUUCUGCAAUCUCCAACCAUGUCUUCUUUAGCUGCAGGCAUCUUCCUACCACUGAUAGAGAAAAGCAUGUCUCCAAUCCUCACUGAACCCAGCAGCACAUCAGGGAGGGUUCAGUAAAGAAAGGCACAGCAUUGAGGGCCUGGACUCCUUUAUGAAUCUUCCUCUUUACUUCCUACCAAAUCCAAUCCUUCAACCUGCAACUUUGAAUAGUUGUUUUAAAUGCUGAAGCUGAGAUUGCACCAAGUGUGUCCCGCUGUAACUGAUUGGACAGGAAAUUUGUAAAUAAAAUUAUAAUGAGGUGGUGCUGUUAAAAAGUCAUUGACAGAUGCAUUGAACUUACUUAUGUUUCUCCUACAUGAUAUCAGAUCCCUGUCACAGUCACAUCAUAUGCCCAUAAAGCAGCAAUAGAAUGUGGACAUUGUAACUUAAGGUGGACUCCAGAGGGGUCAGGUGACUUCUUCUGUGGUUUAUAUACAGGCAGAGACUAACUUUGUGUUUGGACAUGUUUCUGAAAAGUCAUUAAAAAGUAAAUGGCCUUCCCAGGUGUUGGUGACCGCCCUCGCCAUUUCAAUUAAAGAGACUUAAAAUAACAAUGGCUAUUAGACUUGUUAGCCCCAUGAAGAUGAGAUUUCAAAUAAAUACAUUCAGGAGGCUGCUCAUGGCUGGAAUGUUGAUAGGAUAUCCUUCAUUCUCCAUUGUGUGCCAAUUACAUCUGCCAUCAACUCAUUGUAUGGACAAUGGAAUAUAUCAAUACUGUUGUCACAAACCUGAAACUGGCUGGAGGUAGCUAAUAUUUUAUUAAUCCAAAAGGGAAGCCAAGUGAGCCAAUCUGGGAUACGAAGGCUAGAGAGAUACCAUCUCUCGCCCAGCACAAGGGAGGACUCUGCCUCAAAUUUACCUUAGGCAGAGCAGAAGGGCUUAUUAUGUAGUGAAGCUUAUAGUCCUUCACAACAGGGUUUUGACCAACUUAGAUUAAAAGCCAGAAGCUUGUUAUUGUUUGGGGUGAACCAGUGUGAAUCCAUCACCAGAAACCUCCAACCUUCAUUUUUCUUUGGUACAUCAAGUGAGAAUCCUUUAGAUCUGCAAUGAUUCAAUUACCAUCUUGCAGACCAAUUAGAAGUAAACUUAGUUAUUUCAAAGAGUUAAAAAAAAGUUCACUUCUAAAAGUUCAUGCUACAUCUUUAGAAAUCAUCUUUCCUUGUGUGUGAUGUGUGUUUUGCUGUGAAUGAGGUGAGAGUGUUGUUGCAUUUACAUUUCAGGUAUUGUGAGAAA
Molecule: long non-coding RNA, 2062 nt
Organism: Carcharodon carcharias (great white shark)
Lineage: Eukaryota; Metazoa; Chordata; Chondrichthyes; Lamniformes; Lamnidae
Exons: 3
Source: RefSeq, a predicted model, not a curated record